Vigna angularis (adzuki bean) is the source of this 107-nucleotide small nucleolar RNA. It matches the Rfam family "Plant small nucleolar RNA R71". Rfam says of the family: R71 is a member of the C/D box family of snoRNAs containing the C (UGAUGA) and D (CUGA) box motifs. NCBI's taxonomy places the organism in Eukaryota, Viridiplantae, Streptophyta, Magnoliopsida, Fabales, Fabaceae. The record is from Rfam.
AUCUAGUGGUGUGGACAACUUGCACAAAGCUUCUUAAAUCUUUCCCAGUAUUCAUAUUAGCUUUCACCACCGAGCUGCCUAAUCCCAGAAAUAUCUUUCCUUAUGGC